AAUGAGGAAAAAGAUUAAAAAGAGGAAGAUUCUCAAAACAAUGCUUAGGUGUGGUGAAAAAAUCCUCUUAAUCCACCUGCAAUUUCAGGUAUUUCAUCAGUAAUACCUAAGUAAACUAAAAACUACAAGCUGAUGCCUGCAGUCACACUGUAUGAAGUUUGUGUCACUCCUCCCCUACAACCUACAACUCAGCUCCCAUUUGCUGGCUACUUUCAUCAGCACGUAAAAGACUGAACCAGAGUACAGUAUUACAUACACUGCUGCAGAUCACAAGGCAAAGGAAAUUACAAUCAAAAUCCAAGAAACCGAAGAAUGGAUCCCAGCCAGUUUUCCAAUCAGCCUCCAGAAGCCUACAAUUCAUCUGAGAAAUCAGGGAUGCCUACAGCAGCACCACCAGCAUACCAGCACAAUCCUGCUGGAUAUCCUCCUUCCUUUCCAAACCAGCCGGUCCCCCAGGGCCCCUACACCCAGGGACCAUAUCCAGGACAGCCUGUGGUCACUGUGCAGCCUGCAGUUUUUGUGACUGCUGCUCCACUGGCUGAUCCAGUGCCAGAUUACCUGGGUUACUCCAUCUUCACCAUGCUGUGCUGCUGCUUACCUCUGGGCAUCGCUGCGCUGAUUUACUCCAUCUCUACUCGAGAUGCCUACUACUCAGGACAGCGAGAAUUAGCAGAGAAGAACUCCAAAAUGGCACGUACCCUAAAUCACAUCGGCCUUGGUAUUGGCCUUGUUUUCAUUGUAUUGGUCAUUAUCACCCAGAUUGUGAUUUGGACUACUAGAUAAAAGCUGUUAGAACUGACAUGGUUGGAUGCAGAUUGCAAACAGAUUUGUUUUUCUGUAUUUUAAAUGUUACUAGCACAAUUUAUCAGUACUCUAAUAUGCGUUAAGGCCUAUUGUUGUAUGUUUAAACCAAUGAAGGCUACCACACAGUUGUCUUUAGGCUACUUCUGUAAUGUGUUGUUCAGACUUUUUGCUUAUGUUACAUAUCUUCUGUGCUGCUGUGCUAAUUUUAUAUACAGAAAUAAAACAUAGCAUAUAUGUGUACUUUUUUAGGUACAUAUGUACAUAAAUCUGUAUGUCUGUCUAUCUAUCUUUUUUGUUGUUAUUUAAAAACCACAUUUAUCAUGCAGGAAGUGGUGCGUCUGGCAGUUAAUCUGAGAGGAUUGUACAACCCACGUAUAUAUAAUCAGUGACCACGACGCACGCAAACAAGGCACAGCGCAUGCGUAUUCUACAUCUGAGUCAGCAGCAUCACACGCCUCGUGGAACUCGCGUGAACGGCAGCAGAGGCAGACUGGACGAAAAGAAUUUGUUGAAUAAAGUCAUUAUUUUUGUUUUGUUUGUGCACCAAAAGGAUAUAUUCUCGUAGAUUCGUAAAAUUACGGUUGAUCCACUGAUGUCACAUGGACUAUUUUAACGAUGUCCUUUUUCGGGACCUUGAACGUGGUAGUUCAUUUUUUUAAACGAUUUUUAUUAUACUAACACAGAUGCUGUUAUAUUAAAACAACAAUUAAACCAUCCAUGUUUUAAUACAAGUAAUCACUCUCCUCAGAUUUAAGGAUUCAUACAUGAUGAAUGCGCAACUGCAGUAACCCACAGCUGCCAAAUCUCUGAACUAUGGAAGCAUAUGGGUAGCAUUAUUCAAUUUGGGAUGUAAUAUGCAAAAUGACAAUGUAAUAUGUAAAAUGGCAAUGCAUUUCUACAUUUACA
Cyprinus carpio carpio is the source of this 1710-nucleotide long non-coding RNA. Lineage: Eukaryota; Metazoa; Chordata; Actinopteri; Cypriniformes; Cyprinidae. The record is from Ensembl.